CACGUAGGAGGCAAGCGUUAUCCGGAUUUACUGGGCGUAAAGCGCGUGCAGGCGGUUCGGUAAGUUGGAUGUGAAAGCUCCUGGCUCAACUGGGAGAGGUCGUUCAAUACUACCGGACUUGAGAGCAGUAGAGGGAGGUGGAAUUCCCGGUGUAGUGGUGAAAUGCGUAGAUAUCGGGAGGAACACCAGUGGCGAAAGCGGCCUCCUGGACUGUUUCUGACGCUCAGACGCGAAAGCUAGGGUAGCAAACGGG
RNAcentral lists this ribosomal RNA (253 nucleotides) under uncultured bacterium. RNAcentral's name for it is "partial 16S ribosomal RNA". It matches the Rfam family "Bacterial small subunit ribosomal RNA", at positions 524 to 776 of the family's 1533-position model. The record is from RNAcentral.